AUGGUGGUCAAGGGUCUGGGAGCCCAGGUCAUCUUCUCCUCAAUCCUGCCAGUGAGGGGGAUUGAUGAGAGGAGGAGGAGACGGACUUUCCAAGUUAACAACUGGCAGAGACAAGGGGAGAGUUACAGAGACAGGGUAGUCGGCAAAACAAGGCUCAAGUCGGGAUGCCUCCAGUGGGUGCCUGCAGCUGGGGAAGCAUGCAAAGGACAUGGCUGUGGAGGAUCCUCUUGUAUCCCUCCUGGGAAACCUGCAUGCUCAAUCACCUCUCUGAAAUGCCUGUACACCAAUACAUGCAGCAUGGGGAAUAAACAGGAAGAAUUAGAGAUCUGUGCACAGUCGCAGGGCCAUGAUCUCAUUGCCAUUACAGAGACAUGGUGGGAUAGCUCACAUGACUGGAGUGCUGUCAUGGAUGGCUACAUGCUUUUUCGGAAAGACAGGCCAGGAAGGCAAGGUGGUGGAUUUGCUUUUAAUAUGAGAGAGCAACUGGAAUGUAUCGAGCUGUGCCUAGGGGUAGAUGAAGAGCAAGUUGAGAGCUUAUGGGUAAGGAUUAAAGGGCAGGCUAACAUGGGUGACACUACUGUGGGUGUUUACUACAGGCCACCUGAUCAGGUAUUUGAUGAGGCCUUCUACAAACAGGUGGAAGUAGCCUCACAAUCACAGGCCCUGGUUCUCAUAGGGGACUCCAGCCACCCUGAUGUCUGCUGGAAAGACAACACAGCUAGGCACAAACAGUCCUGGAGGUUCCUGCAGAGCAUUGGUGACAACUUCUUGACACAGCUGGUGGAGGAGCCAACAAGGAGAGGUGCGCUGCUGAACCUCGUACUAACAAACAAAGAAGGACUGGUUGGAGAUGUGAAGGUUGGGGGCUGCCUUGGCUGCAGUGACCAUGAGAUGGUGGAGUUCAGGAUCCUGCGAGGAGGCAGCAGGGCACCAAGUAGGAUCGCAACCCUGGACUUCAGGAGAGCAAACUUCGGCCUCUUCAGGGACCUACUUGGAGGAAUCCCAUGGGUUAGGGCCCUAGAAGGAAGGGGCAUUCAGGAGAGCUGGUUAAUAUUCAAACAUCACUUCCUCCAGGCUCAAGAGCAGUGCAUCCCUAUGAGUAGGAAGUCAAGCAAAGGAGGCAGGAGACCUGCAUGGGUGAGCAAGGAGCUCCUAGCAAAACUCAACCAGAAGAAGGAAGUAUACAGAAAGUGGAAAGGGGGACAGGCCACUUGGGAGGAAUAUAGGAACGUUGUCGGAGUAUGCAGGGAUGCGACGAGGAAGGCUAAGGCCCGUUUGGAAUUAAAUCUGGCAAGAGAUGUCAAGGACAACAAGAAGGGCUUCUUCAAAUACAUCAGUAGCAAGAGGAAGACU
Molecule: long non-coding RNA, 1353 nt
Filed under: Apteryx haastii (Great spotted kiwi)
Lineage: Eukaryota; Metazoa; Chordata; Aves; Apterygiformes; Apterygidae
Description: lncRNA (ENSAHAG00000007324.1)
Source: RNAcentral